RNAcentral lists this long non-coding RNA (383 nucleotides) under Vitis vinifera (wine grape). RNAcentral describes it as "long non-coding RNA (VVIN_LNC004949)". Lineage: Eukaryota; Viridiplantae; Streptophyta; Magnoliopsida; Vitales; Vitaceae. The record is from RNAcentral.
GAGUGGUAACAGGAAGAUUGGGUUUCGGCGAUAUUCUUUCCCUCUCAACCAGGGCUCCAAAUUUGUUAUCAUCAGUCCAAAAGGGUUAAAACUGGCAGUCCUAUUCCUCAUUCGAGCACUCCCCCUGGCCCUCCUGCUAUUUCUUCACCUGUCCAUUUAUCUGGCCCAAUGGUAUUGGAAUUAAAUGGUUCACGAGUGAUCUGAGCCUGUAGCUAAGGGCCUGCAAAGUGGAAACAGCAAAAGUUUGCACCAGUUUUGAGCAUUCAGUGUGUUGGGGUUCAAGUCUACAUGGCCGAAACACUAAUGCAGAGAUGGAAUAAUAUGCAGUCAGUGCUCAAGGUGCCCCAAGUUCGCAUUUCUAGUCUGCACGGCUUGCUUAGUCA